CAUAUAUUUAAGCAGCCUAUUUCAAAGUUUCUAAAAAAAAACAGCGAAUUCACAUCCGGUUUCUGCUCUAUUUCUUCUUCUCGCUUUUGGACUAGGGUUUUUGAAGAUUUCUUUAGUGAUUUUAACAGGUUCAAACAUGUCCGAUGCAGAGUGUUCCAAUCCAAAUACCUACUGCUAUGCAUACAUUUACUAUAAGCAUCAUCAUUUUGCUCACCUGGUUACUUUUAAGUCUAGUAUUGAUGACCUGAAAUUUCUUAUUUGUGAAAACUGGAGAACCUUGAACCCUUCUGAGAUUAUCAUCACUUAUGUUGA
Papaver somniferum (opium poppy) is the source of this 312-nucleotide long non-coding RNA. RefSeq lists it as uncharacterized. NCBI's taxonomy places the organism in Eukaryota, Viridiplantae, Streptophyta, Magnoliopsida, Ranunculales, Papaveraceae. The record is from RefSeq and is a predicted model, not a curated record. The transcript has 2 exons.